RNAcentral lists this long non-coding RNA (412 nucleotides) under Spirodela polyrhiza (greater duckweed). Its description in RNAcentral is "long non-coding RNA (SPOL_LNC001476)". The record is from RNAcentral. Lineage: Eukaryota; Viridiplantae; Streptophyta; Magnoliopsida; Alismatales; Araceae.
UUCCUCCUCUUCCGCUCGCUAGUCUUCGAGAAAGCGCUCCCGGUCCCGCCGCCGAGGGAGGGCGGCGCUACCACGACCGCCGCCGCCGCCGGAGAACAGAGAGAGCCACCGCCGCCGCAGGCGAAGCCCACUCGCAAGGCGCCACCGCCCUUCAAGCGCGACGACCCCACCAAGGCCGGCCGCAAGCGAAUGCCCUCCGACCGUCAGGAGGAGAAGCUCGCGAAGAGGACAAAGAAGCUGGACUCCGUGAAGAAGGCCCUCACCUCCUCGGAGAAAAAGCAGCAGGAGGCGGCGCCGGCGCCGGCGAAGAAGCAGCAGCAAGAGGCGGCGCCGGGGCCGGCUCCGGCCGCAAAGCCCUCCAAGGCGGAGCAGAAGGCGGCGGUCCCGACCUUCCUGGUGAUGAAGUUCCCGC